Salmo salar (Atlantic salmon) is the source of this 77-nucleotide non-coding RNA. The record is from Rfam. Lineage: Eukaryota; Metazoa; Chordata; Actinopteri; Salmoniformes; Salmonidae.
AUUUGGCCUAAUCUCAGCUGGCAACUGUGAGCAGUUCAGUGUUUCCUCUCACAGUGGCUGCUGGGGUUCUGCUAAAC